ACCCGUGGGGGUAGAGCACUGAAUAGUUGCGGGGGCUUCACCGCCUACCAAGAUUAAUCAAACUCCGAAUACCAUAGGGUCUAAAUCCGGGAGUCAGAAUAUGUGGGCUAAGCUGUGUAUUCGAAAGGGAAACAGCCCAGACCGCCCGCUAAGGUCCCAAAAUCAAUGCUAAGUGGCAAAGGAUGUGCGUUUGCUCAGACAACCAGGAUGUUGGCUUAGAAGCAGCCAUUCAUUUAAAGAGUGCGUAAUAGCUCACUGGUCGAGUGGACAUGCGCCGACAAUAUACGGGGCUAAGCAUUGUACCGAAGCGGCGGAUCAGUACUUUGUACUGGUGGUAGGAGAGCUUUCUGUACGGGUUGAAGCAGUUGGAUAACCAACUGUGGACUGUCCAGAAGUGAGAAUGCUGGCAUGAGUAACGAGAGACAUGUAAAAAACAUGUCCGCCGUAAACCCAAGGUUUCCUACGCGAUGCUCGUCAUCGUAGGGUUAGCCGGGUCCUAAGCAAAGUCCGAAAGGGGUAUGCGAUGGAAAAUUGGUUAAUAUUCCAAUGCCAACUAUAAUGUGCGAUGGAAGGACGCUUAGAGUUAGAGGAGCCAGCGGAUGGUAGUGCUGGUCGAAAGGUGUAGGUUAAGAUCCAGGCAAAUCCGGAUCUUUUUAAGCCGAGACCCCACAGGCGUUUGAAGUUCUUCGGAAUGGAUAGCGAAUUGCUGAUACUGUCGAGCCAAGAAAAGUUUCUAAGUUUAGUUAUAGUUGCCCGUACCGUAAACCGACACAGGUGGGUGGGAUGAGUAUUCUAAGGCGCGUGGAAGAACUCUCUUCAAGGAACUCUGCAAAAUAGCACCGUAUCUUCGGUAUAAGGUGUGCCUAACUUUGUGAAGGAUUUACUCCGUAAGCAUUGAAGGUUACAACAAAGAGUCCCUCCCGACUGUUUACCAAAAACACAGCACUCUGCUAACUCGUAAGAGGAUGUAUAGGGUGUGACGCCUGCCCGGUGCUCGAAGGUUAAUUGAUGACGUUAGCUCUGCGAAGCGUUUGAUCGAAGCCCGAGUAAACGGCGGCCGUAACUAUAACGGUCCUAAGGUAGCGAAAUUCCUUGUCGAUUAAAUAUCGACCUGCAUGAAUGGCGUAACGAGAUGGGAGCUGUCUCGAAGAGGGAUCCAGUGAAAUUGUAGUGGAGGUGAAAAUUCCUCCUACCCGCGGCAAGACGGAAAGACCCCGUGGACCUUUACUACAGCUUGACACUGCUACUUGGAUAAAGAUGCGCAGGAUAGGUGGGAGGCUUUGAUUCGUAGAUCUCGGUUUACGAUGAGCCAUUGUUGAGAUACCACCCUUCUUUAUUCGGGUAGCUAACUAGCCUAAGUUAUCCUU
RNAcentral lists this ribosomal RNA (1367 nucleotides) under human oral metagenome. RNAcentral describes it as "bacterial LSU rRNA". It matches the Rfam family "Bacterial large subunit ribosomal RNA", at positions 892 to 2243 of the family's 2925-position model. The record is from RNAcentral.